This 460-nucleotide ribosomal RNA is filed under the name uncultured bacterium. RNAcentral describes it as "partial 16S ribosomal RNA". It matches the Rfam family "Bacterial small subunit ribosomal RNA", at positions 338 to 795 of the family's 1533-position model. The record is from RNAcentral.
CCUACGGGGGGCAGCAGUGAGGAAUAUUGGUCAAUGGACGAGAGUCUGAACCAGCCAAGUAGCGUGAAGGAUGAAUGCCCUAUGGGUUGUAAACUUCUUUUAUAUGGGAAUAAAAUGUUCCACGUGUGGGAUUUUGUAUGUACCAUAUGAAUAAGGAUCGGCUAACUCCGUGCCAGCAGCCGCGGUAAUACGGAGGAUCCGAGCGUUAUCCGGAUUUAUUGGGUUUAAAGGGAGCGUAGGUGGAUUGUUAAGUCAGUUGUGAAAGUUUGCGGCUCAACCGUAAAAUUGCAGUUGAAACUGGCAGUCUUGAGUACAGGAGAGGUGGGCGGAAUUCGUGGUGUAGCGGUGAAAUGCUUAGAUAUCACGAAGAACUCCGAUUGCGAAGGCAGUUCACUGGACUGCAACUGACACUGAGGCUCGAAAGUGUGGGUAUCAAACAGGAUUAGAUACCCGAGUAGUC